CCAGCCAUGCCGCGUGCAGGAAGACGCAUCUAUGGUGUGUAAACUGCUUUUGUACGGGAAGAAACACUCCCUCGUGAGGGAGCUUGACGGUACCGUAAGAAUAAGGAUCGGCUAACUCCGUGCCAGCAGCCGCGGUAAUACGGAGGAUCCAAGCGUUAUCCGGAAUCAUUGGGUUUAAAGGGUCCGUAGGCGGUUUGGUAAGUCAGUGGUGAAAGCCCAUCGCUUAACGAUGGAACGGCCAUUGAUACUGCCAGACUUGAAUUACUAGGAAGUAACUAGAAUAUGUAGUGUAGCGGUGAAAUGCUUAGAUAUUACAUGGAAUACCAAUUGCGAAGGCAGGUUACUACUAGUGGAUUGACGCUGAUGGACGAAAGCGUGGGGAGCGAACAGGAUUAGAUACCCUGGUAGUCCACGCCGUAAACGAUGGAUACUAGCUGUUCGGAGCAAUCUGAGUGGCUAAGCGAAAGUGAUAAGUA
This 476-nucleotide ribosomal RNA is filed under the name Bacteroidetes bacterium wo21. RNAcentral's name for it is "bacterial SSU rRNA". It matches the Rfam family "Bacterial small subunit ribosomal RNA", at positions 388 to 866 of the family's 1533-position model. The record is from RNAcentral. Lineage: Bacteria; Pseudomonadati; Bacteroidota.